AGAGUUUGAUCAUGGCUCAGAAUGAACGCUGGCGGCGUGCCUAACACAUGCAAGUCGAACGGAAUCCAAGGAGUGCUUGCACUCUGGAAGAUUUAGUGGCGAACGGGUGAGUACCACGUGAGCAAUCUGCCCUGAAGACUGGGAUAACACCGGGAAACCGGUGCUAAUACCGGAUACCUUCAUUGAUCCGCAUGGAUCGAUGAAGAAAUGUUUUUUCGCUUCAGGAGGAGCUCGCGGCCUAUCAGCUAGUUGGCGGGGUAACGGCCCACCAAGGCAACGACGGGUAGCUAGUCUGAGAGGACGAUUAGCCACACUGGAACUGAGACACGGUCCAGACUCCUACGGGAGGCAGCAGUGGGGAAUCUUGCGCAAUGGACGAAAGUCUGACGCAGCAACGCCGCGUGAGGGAUGAAGGCUUUCUGAGUUGUAAACCUCUUUCGACAGGAACGAUAAUGACGGUACCUGUAGAAGAAGCACCGGCCAACUAUGUGCCAGCAGCCGCGGUGAUACAUAGGGCGCAAGCGUUAUUCGGAUUUAUUGGGCGUAAAGAGCUCGUAGGCGGUUCGAUUAGUCGGGUGUGAAAUCUCUGGGCUUAACCCAGAGCGGCCACCCGAAACUGUCGUGACUAGAGUUUGGUAGGGGAUCACGGAAUUCCUGGUGUAGCGGUGGAAUGCGCAGAUAUCAGGAGGAACACCAGCAGCGAAGGCGGUGAUCUGGGCCAAUACUGACGCUGAGGAGCGAAAGCGUGGGGAGCGAACAGGAUUAGAUACCCUGGUAGUCCACGCCGUAAACGGUGGGCACUAGUGUGGGGACUUUUCAACGGUUUCCGCGCCGCAGCUAACGCAUUAAGUGCCCCGCCUGGGGAGUACGGCCGCAAGGCUAAACUCAAGAAUUGACGGGGCCCGCACAGCAGCGGAGCAUGUG
RNAcentral lists this ribosomal RNA (924 nucleotides) under uncultured bacterium. RNAcentral describes it as "bacterial SSU rRNA". It matches the Rfam family "Bacterial small subunit ribosomal RNA", at positions 8 to 943 of the family's 1533-position model. The record is from RNAcentral.